UACAGAGGUGGCAAGCGUUGUUCGGAAUUACUGGGCGUAAAGGGCGCGUAGGCGGCCUUCUUAGUCGGACGUGAAAUCCCCGGGCUUAACUCGGGAACUGCGUCCGAUACUGGAAGGCUGGAGUUCGGGAGAGGAAUGUGGAAUUCCAGGUGUAGCGGUGAAAUGCGUAGAUAUCUGGAGGAACACCGGUGGCGAAGGCGGCAUCCUGGACCGACACUGACGCUGAGGCGCGAAAGCUAGGGUAGCAAACGGG
This 253-nucleotide ribosomal RNA is filed under the name uncultured bacterium. RNAcentral's name for it is "partial 16S ribosomal RNA". It matches the Rfam family "Bacterial small subunit ribosomal RNA", at positions 524 to 776 of the family's 1533-position model. The record is from RNAcentral.